UACGUAGGGUGCGAGCGUUAUUCGGAAUUACUGGGCGUAAAGCGUGCGCAGGCGGUUUUGUAAGUCACCUGUGAAAUCUCCUGGCUCAACUGGGAGCUUGCAGGCGAAACUGCCGUGCUGGAGUGUGGGAGAGGUGCGUGGAAUUCCCGGUGUAGCGGUGAAAUGCGUAGAGAUCCGGAGGAACACCGACGGCGUAAGCAGCGCCCUAAACGAGUACUGACGCUCAGGCACGAAAGCUGGGGGAGCAAACAGG
Molecule: ribosomal RNA, 253 nt
Filed under: uncultured bacterium
Lineage: Bacteria
Description: partial 16S ribosomal RNA
Rfam family: Bacterial small subunit ribosomal RNA
Source: RNAcentral